This 2228-nucleotide ribosomal RNA is filed under the name Leptotrichia hofstadii F0254. RNAcentral describes it as "Bacterial large subunit ribosomal RNA". It matches the Rfam family "Bacterial large subunit ribosomal RNA". The record is from Rfam by way of RNAcentral. Lineage: Bacteria; Fusobacteriati; Fusobacteriota; Fusobacteriia; Fusobacteriales; Leptotrichiaceae.
AUAAAAGCUAACAAGGGCACACGGAGGAUGCCUAGGCAACAGCAGCCGAUGAAGGACGUGAUAAGCUGCGAUAAGCCGGGAGGAGAUGCACAUAAUCGUUAAUCCCCGGAUCUCCGAAUGGGAAAACCUGCAUGCCUGGAGGGCAUGCGUGAAAACGGUAAGCCCGCGAACUGAAACAUCUAAGUAGCGGGAGGAAAGGAAAGUAAAAACGAUUCCCUGAGUAGCGGCGAGCGAACGGGGAAGAGCCUAAACCGUGCCAGUGCCAAGCGGACAGCGUUGCUGGCACGGGGUUGCGGGACUUCCAUUAACGGAUUGUCAUAAUGUUUAAACUGUAUGCAUGUAAGUGGAAUCAGCUGGGAAGCUGGACCAAAGAAGGUGAUAGUCCUGUAGAACAUAAAAUACAUAUAGUGACUGGAAGCACCCGAGUAGCGUCAGGCACGAGGAAUCUGGCGUGAAUCAGCGUGGACCAUAUCACGCAAGGCUAAAUACUGCUGUUGACCGAUAGUGAAGAGUACCGUGAGGGAAAGGUGAAAAGAACCCUGAGCAAGGGAGUGAAACAGAAUUUGAAACCGUGUGCUUACAAACGGUAGGAGCGCUUUAUGCGUGACUGCGUGGAUUUUGGUUAAUCAUCCUGCGAGUUAUGAUUAGUGGCAAGGUUAAUAAAGCGGAGCCGAAGGGAAACCGAGUCUUAAUAGGGCGUUAAGUCGCUAGUCAUAGACGCGAAACCUAGUGAUCUAGGCCUGUCCAGGCUGAAGCUGAGGUAAGACUCAGUGGAGGGCCGAACUCACCGCCGUUGAAAAGUUGGGAGAUGAGGCAGGUCUAGGGGUGAAAAGCCAAUCGAACUAGGAGAUAGCUCGUUCUCUCCGAAAUGCAUUUAGGUGCAGCCUUGACGUCAAGAUAUGUGGGGGUAGAGCUCUGUAUGGUCUAGGGGGCGUACUGCUUACCGAAAUCAAGCAAACUUCGAAUACCAUAUAUUAAUAGUCAGGAGUGAGUCCGCGGAUGACAAGGUCCGCGGACGAGAGGGGAACAGCCCAGACCGCCAGCUAAGGUCCCUAAUUAUNNNNNNNNNNNNNNNNNNNNNNNNNNNNNNNNNNNNNNNNNNNNNNNNNNNNNNNNNNNNNNNNNNNNNNNNNNNNNNNNNNNNNNNNNNNNNNNNNNNNCUAUGCUAAGCUGAAAGGCGACGUAUAUGGGCUGACACCUGCCCAGUGCCGGAAGGUUAAGAGGAGGAGUGAGAGCUCCGAAUUGAAGCCCCGGUGAACGGCGGCCGUAACUAUAACGGUCCUAAGGUAGCGAAAUUCCUUGUCGGGUAAGUUCCGACCUGCACGAAUGGUGAAAUGAUUUGGGAGCUGUCUUGGCUGGAGACCUGGUGAAGUUGUAAUGCCGGUGAAGAUACCGGCUACCUGCAGUAGGACGGAAAGACCCCGUGGAGCUUUACUGCAGUCUGGCAUUGGGUUUUGGCUGCGUGUGUAUAGGAUAGUUGGGAGACUGUGAAGCUGAGGCGUCAGUUUCAGCCGAGUCGCCGUUGGAAUACCAACCAUAUGCCGUUGAAAUUCUAAUCUGGUAACGGAGACAGUGCUAGAUGGGCAGUUUGACUGGGGCGGUCGCCUCCAAAAGAGUAACGGAGGCGUUCAAAGGUUCCCUCAGGCUGGAUGGAAAUCAGCCUAGGAGUGCAAACGCAUAAGGGAGCUUGACUGCAAGACUGACGGGUCGAGCAGGCACGAAAGUGGGAGUUAGUGAUCCGGCGGUUCCGUAUGGAAGGACCGUCGCUCAACGGAUAAAAGCUACCCCGGGGAUAACAGGCUGAUACUUCCCAAGAGUCCAUAUCGACGGAAGUGUUUGGCACCUCGAUGUCGGCUCGUCUCAUCCUGGGGCUGGAGAAGGUCCCAAGGGUUGGGCUGUUCGCCCAUUAAAGAGGCACGCGAGCUGGGUUCAGAACGUCGUGAGACAGUUCGGUCCCUAUCCACUGCAGGCGCCUGAAUACUGAAAAGAUCUGACCUUAGUACGAGAGGACCGGGUUGGACAGACCUCUGAUGUACCAGUUGUCACGCCAGUGGCACGGCUGGGUAGUCACGUCUGGAACGGAUAACCGCUGAAAGCAUCUAAGCGGGAAGCCGGCUUUGAGAUGAGUGUUCGCAGUAUCCAUGGAGAACACAUGGUUGAUAGGCCAGAGGUGCAAGCGCAGCAAUGCGUUCAGCUGACUGGUACUAAUAUUACGUAUGCUUUUUAGG